CUUUAUUGGAGAGUUUGAUCCUGGCUCAGGAUGAACGCUGGCGGCGUGCCUAAUACAUGCAAGUCGAGCGAAUGGAUUAAGAGCUUGCUCUUAUGCAGUUAGCGGCGGACGGGUGAGUAACACGUGUGUAACCUGCCCAUAAGACUGGUAUAACUCCG
Molecule: ribosomal RNA, 158 nt
Filed under: Bacillus cereus
Lineage: Bacteria; Bacillati; Bacillota; Bacilli; Caryophanales; Bacillaceae
Description: partial 16S ribosomal RNA
Rfam family: Bacterial small subunit ribosomal RNA
Source: RNAcentral